UAUAAUAUUGUAUUGUAGUCUGUUGUUGUAAACAUCCCCGACUGGAAGCUGUAAGACACAUUCUAGCUUUCAGUCAGAUGUUUGCUGCAUCCGGCUAUUCAUGGACAGC
RNAcentral lists this microRNA precursor (109 nucleotides) under Pelodiscus sinensis (Chinese soft-shelled turtle). RNAcentral describes it as "microRNA 30d (ENSPSIG00000019426.1)". The stretch from base 19 to 94 matches the Rfam family "mir-30 microRNA precursor family". Rfam says of the family: This family consists of the mammalian microRNA (miRNA) precursor mir-30a. Animal miRNAs are transcribed as ~70nt precursors and subsequently processed by the Dicer enzyme to give a ~22nt product. The record is from RNAcentral. Lineage: Eukaryota; Metazoa; Chordata; Testudines; Trionychidae.